CAUGGCAAAUGUGACUUAGCCUACUUUCCACAUAGAGGAUGUUCAUGAUUUGAUACUCAUCUUGAACGAGUGUGGCUGGUGAGAACUGUGAAUGCAGCUGUCUCCUGGGAUCACCAAACCCCUGUUUCAGAGCCUGCUCUUGGGAGAAACCACUGGAAGACAAUUCUUUACAGGAUUCAUGACUACAUCCCAUACAGAAACUCAGGGGAAGAGAUCCAAGAAAGUGAAACAUAAGCCACACAGAGUACUUCCCCAUCCUUAACAGGUGUUAAAAAUAUCAGCUUGUGAGUGAUUGAUAUGCACAGGAUGUCAUAAAAGUGCAAGCCUUGGAAGGCCUUUUCUGAUACACUGAAAAUAGAAAAAGUGGGAAACCAGACUUCAAAAUUCAUGUGCUUGUUUUUCUGACAUUUAAACUUUGGCCCUGGCCACUAUUGAUUAACAGUAGAACCACUAGACUCUUUAUGGUAUAAAUAAAUACAUCUGUAGAUGAGAGAUCAAAUGUUGCUUAUCUGUUGAUGAGUAGAGAAUUCUACACUUUUAGUUAUUUUUAGGAGUGCACUGAAGCAGUUUUUAUGGGUUCCUCAGACCAAUUGUGCCAGUCUCUUCUAAACUCUGUUCAAUGACAUCACAGUGGUAGCUUGAAACGGAUUGUGUUGGUGGAAUUUAUGUCAUGAGAAUGGCAAAUGUUACAGUUAGGGCUUUUUCCCUCCGAGAGCCAGUUGUUAAACAUUUAUUAGAACAUUACAAUUAUUAGGGCCCUUUUUAUGCUUUCUUUCCUGAUGACUACAUGAUUAUAUUCAGUUUAUUUGUGUCAAAUUCCCCAUCCUUCAUUAUAGUGAUCAAGUCAGCAAAUGAUAUUAGAUUUGAAUUUUCAUAAAUUUGCUUUUACAUGAGCAGAAACCCAUAUUCAAGCAAUGGCUUUGUGCCUUCUCUUUCAUAAUAAAUUUUUUGUUGUGACUAGUAACUACAAAAAGGCAACUAUAAGCUAGAUUCUCUUUGAUUUUAUUUUUUUUUAUCAUUAAUCUUUCCAAACAAAAAGAGGCACUCUUAUUCCAGUUUUUUGGUAAGAUUUAACAUCAGUUAGAGGCUGAAUGCCUCCAGUUACAAUAACAAUAGAUUUCAUUUCCUUUGUCCUAGCAAGUGCUUUAUAAAUGAGUGUCCCUGGCUUAGGGUCCUGCUUCCAGCUCUGCUUCAUCAUCCUGAAUUGUGGGGCAGGUUCUCUGAGUGAACAUCCUGAGAAGUAAAGAAUCAGGAGCUCCAGGAAACUGUUGGCCUUGACUCUGCUGCCAUCUCGAUUUCUCUCGACCACCUCAGUAUUUCUUUCUUCUUCCAUUUUUCCAAUUCUCUUCUCAUCAUCAUCUGAUUAUUGUAUUUAUUCACUUGCUAUAUCUCAGACUUAAAUUUUAAAAAAGAAACAGUUGAUGGGAAAGAUGACUACAUAGUUAUGUGGGUGAUGUAGGUAAGGAAGCAAUUUGUCAACUCUUGAAACUGAUAUUUUUUAAAUGCAUGUUCAAUAUUUAUUUGAGCAAGAGGGAUAUCAGAACCUGUUAAGAAUCCUUUGUUGUUUCAACAUGAAAACCCUAUUCCUGUCUAUUCUGUGGAACCAAUUUACAUGUAGUUAGCUGUGAAAGGAACUGAGGAUGUGGGGCUGGGUGAACUGGCACUGCAUUUUCAAAUUAAUUCGAUGACAUUUUAAUGUUCCUUAGAGAAGUGCUUUUCAAUUUCUCAUGUGUGUAUCUGUCACCCAGGAAUCUUGUUAAAAUGAGAUGCAGUAAAUUCUGAUUCAGUCAGUCUCAGGCAGGGCCUGAGAUUCUGCAUUCCUAACAAGUUCCCACAUGACGCUGGUGCUGCUGGUCUAGGAUCACACUUUGGUGGGGGGAGGUGUCACAACCCCUUUACUCUGGCUUGAAUGGAAGGGACAACAGUCCUAUAUGAAGGGGGGGACAAUAAGCUAUUUUUUUUAAACUAUUUUCUUUCUUUCUCUCUGUUUUUUUUUUACUUAUGAAGACUUAACACUUUCUUGGGGAUUGUGUGAGUGGUUUAUUGGCCUCUCACAUUAAGAAAUUCCUUGCUUAUUUUAGAUAUCUUGCCAAAAAUGGUGGUUUAUAAUCUUAGGAGAGAAUUCUGUGAUUCUGUGAUUUUAGAACUCACUUUUCAAAGUUGCUUCUUAAAACAUGAGAUGUGAAAGCCCUGAUAGGUCUAUACUUGUGACUGUUUUAAAAAUGAUAAGAUUUUGAUCUAUUCAGUAGGAAUCUCUGUAAAACACCUUCUUUUAAAAGGAAUAAUAAGGAAUAAUAAAGGACAUUGGAACUGAAAAACAUGAAACAUAAAGCCCACCUGUGAUGAUUUAUCCAGACACCCAGCUAGUGCUAUUUCUGUAAGAAUUGUUGUCAUGAUAAUGGUGUAAAUUUGCAUCUUCAUGUUGUAGGGCAUUCUGGUUUAUCAAUAUGGGAUAUAAAGCUGCCAUGCAUAAAGCUGAUCUCCCACCCCACAUGAAGUUUUCAGCUGUACAAUUCUGAGUGAACCAUGAACUGCCUACGAUGUGUUCUUGCCAGGCACACAUUAGAUGCUCAAUAAAUAUUUGUUGAAUGGAUUAAAUCCAAAGGAGCUUCAUAUGCGUAACUUAUAUACA
Manis pentadactyla (Chinese pangolin) is the source of this 2632-nucleotide long non-coding RNA. RefSeq lists it as uncharacterized. The record is from RefSeq and is a predicted model, not a curated record. The transcript is spliced from 3 exons. Lineage: Eukaryota; Metazoa; Chordata; Mammalia; Pholidota; Manidae.